Molecule: ribosomal RNA, 580 nt
Filed under: Echinoidea sp. LV079
Lineage: Eukaryota; Metazoa; Echinodermata; Echinoidea
Description: partial 16S ribosomal RNA
Rfam family: Bacterial large subunit ribosomal RNA
Source: RNAcentral
CGCCCUCUGAACUAACCACAUAGAGGGUACUGCCUGCCCAGUGACUCACAGUUAAACGGCCGCGGUAUCUUGACCGUGCGAAGGUAGCAUAAUCACUUGUCUCCUAAAUAGAGACUGGUAUGAAUGGCAAGACGGGAUUCUACUGUCUCCUCUUCCCCUAUUAGAAUUUCACUAUCCCGUGAAGAGGCGGGAAUAAUAUCGUAAGACGAGAAGACCCUGUCGAGCUGCAGCGAAGCUUUGACUAACAACUCCCUUUUUACUAACUAAUCUUUAUAGCUACAAGAAAACAAGGACUUGUUAGAUUAAAGCAAGCUUUGAUUGGGGCAAUCACGGAGAAAAGCAAUCCUCCGUUACUAAUGAAACCAAGGUUUCCUAAACUCAAGGAUUACUAUCCUGUCAUCAAAAAUGAAGGUGCGAUCCACUCCACAGUGAUCAAAGGAAAAAGUUACCGCAGGGAUAACAGCGUUAUCUUCUCUGAGAGUCCAUAUUGACGAGAAGGUUUGCGACCUCGAUGUUGGAUCGGGACAUCCUGGAGGUGCAGAAGCUUCCAAAGGUUGGUCUGUUCGACCAUUAAAGUCCU